RNAcentral lists this long non-coding RNA (1469 nucleotides) under Homo sapiens (human). RNAcentral describes it as "HSALNT0274422". The record is from RNAcentral. Lineage: Eukaryota; Metazoa; Chordata; Mammalia; Primates; Hominidae.
CCGCCUCUGACUUCAGUUGGGAAGAGGAUGGUGGCGGGAGAUGGAGGAUGAGGCCCUCCUCAUCUGCUUGGCCAAGGCUGUUCUGCUCUGCGGUUUGUGGGUUUGACACUCGUGGCCUUGAAAGCAAGCCUCCCGGCCCAGCCUCCAUCUUCCUGACAGUAGUGCUGCCUUCUCAAGACAUGGCUUUGAGCAAACUACAGAUGUGCUUCCUUUCAUCUUGAAAUCCAGCCUGGGAGCAAGCUGUGAGCCUACUGCCUUCCCUCUCCCACCUGCAGCUCCCGGGCCCUGUGCACAUUUGUUUAUCUGGAUGCUUGCUGAGUGCACACCAUGCUCACCUGUCUGGUCAUCUAUUUCCUAGAAGCUUUGGGGGCCAGAUCCUGGGACGAACCAGGCAUCUCCAGAAUUCCUUCCCCAGCAGGCGGGUUACUUUGAGGCCAGAGCUUACUCCUGGCUAAAGACUCACUGCAAGAUUGACUGUGAUUGAUUUCUAAUCUGGGGGCGACCCGCGAUGGCGCAGCCCCUUCACCAGAUGUGUUUGUGGUGGAAGUUAUCCAAGUGACACGGCACCAAAACCUGUGAUCGGUGGCAAAUCCGUACAGGUCUGCGGCAGCCGCAAUUCUCACCUCCUCAGAAGAAAGAAUUCGACCAAGGGGCAGAAGGCAGAAGAAGAGACCGAGACAAGUUUUAGAGCAGGAGUGACAUUUAUUAAAAAGCUUUAGAGCAGGAAUGAAAGGAAGGAAAGGACGCUUGGAAGGGGGCCAAGCAGGUGACUUGAAGGACAGGUGUGUGGUUUGACCUUCGACUUGGGGUUUUAUAUGUUGGCACGCUUCCGGGGUCUGGCCUGCCUUCUCCCCUGAUUCUUCCCUUGGGGUGGGCUGUCCACAUGUGCAGUGGCUGCCAGCCCUUGGGAGGAGCACGCGCUAUGUGUUUACUGGAGUUGCGCGCCUGCUUACCUGAGGCGUUGUUCCCUUACCUGUCAAAUGUCCCUAGGAGGCCAUAGACCAGUUACACUCCACAAUUUUGCCUUUUAAUACACAUGCUUGAGCCCACUCACCCAAUGCCUGAGGUCUUAUGGGGAAGGAUUUUUCUGUCUGUUGGGAGGCUGCCUUUCCCUGGCGUUGGCUGUGACCAAUUAUUAUUUUAGAGAGACAGUUAACAGCCACCCGACCAACACUGAUGGUCGCCUGACAUUCCUGGUUGGGAGGGCCCUCUCCUGCCCUGCUCAUGUCUGACCAGCUGCCUACUGUAACAGAUGGAACAAUAACUCAAGAGAAGCCAUCAGAGCAGGUCACCUGGCACCUCCUGGCCCCUGCCUCGCCUGCAUUCCAGACCCCCUCUACACGUCCCUCUACAAAUUGAAGAGUGGCCAUUUUUGGAAAGGAUUCCGGCCAAUCUCCCCCUUGCUAGCAUGAGAAUGAAGCUCACGCUCUUUCUUUUUUCUUUCUUUUCUUUUUUUUUUUGAGACGGAG